RNAcentral lists this ribosomal RNA (496 nucleotides) under uncultured bacterium. RNAcentral describes it as "partial 16S ribosomal RNA". It matches the Rfam family "Bacterial small subunit ribosomal RNA", at positions 29 to 507 of the family's 1533-position model. The record is from RNAcentral.
AUGCACGCUGGCGGCGUGCCUAAUACAUGCCAGUCGCGCGAACAGACGAGGAGCUUGCUCCUCUGACGUUAGCGGCGGACGGGUGAGUAACACGUGGAUAACCUACCUAUAAGACUGGGAUAACUUCGGGAAACCGGAGCUAAUACCGGAUAAUAUAUUGAACCGCAUGGUUCAAUAGUGAAAGACGGUUUUGCUGUCACUUAUAGAUGGAUCCGCGCCGCAUUAGCUAGUUGGUAAGGUAACGGCUUACCAAGGCAACGAUGCGUAGCCGACCUGAGAGGGUGAUCGGCCACACUGGAACUGAGACACGGUCCAGACUCCUACGGGAGGCAGCAGUAGGGAAUCUUCCGCAAUGGGCGAAAGCCUGACGGAGCAACGCCGCGUGAGUGAUGAAGGUCUUCGGAUCGUAAAACUCUGUUAUUAGGGAAGAACAAGUGUGUAAGUAACUAUGCACGUCUUGACGGUACCUAAUCAGAAAGCCACGGCUAACUACGUG